UGUGAAUUUAAUCUCUAUUCUAUUGACACAUUGAUAACAGUAUGACGUUUAUUCGACUCACUUUGUGGAAUGAAUUUGCAAUAAAAGAUGGGAUGCGUCUGCAUGAAACUCUGCACCUUAAUAAUGUUUUGUUUGCUACAGGUUGAAGGUCAACUAUUUUCAUGGUAAUACUACUCUUAACCUGUAUGAACUUUUUUUUCUCCAAAAAUACUAAUCUAAUGAUUUUAAUAUUUUAACUUCUACGCCCGUACCUUAGCACCUGCAUGAAGAGCAAAUUAUAUGUUAAGUUGGAUACUUUCAACACUUUACUCAAACUAAUAUGUUGAUGCAUACUCUACAAUAUAGAGUUGAGAUGAGAUGGGUAUUAUUAGCUCGAUUAAUGGUUCUAAAAAAUUACGUGCUAAUCUAGGUUUGCCGAAAACAAAAAUGCACAGAAGUUGGUAGCAUGGAAUUGUACACAUGAAUUUUCGCUCCCACGGAAACUAAUAAUUUCAAAUGCCAAGAGAAUUCGAAUAAACCAAUUUGCGUUUUUACCCAAUGUAAGAUUUCCCCGUACAUGAUUGCAUGGUUAAUAUUUUUUUUCAUUGUAUACCUAUGCUUUGAAUUUGUGAAUUUUUUCGUAGGUACAAUAUUAUUGCGUUAUUGGCUAUAUCGAGAAAAUAUAUGUUGACCACCUAUGGAUUGAUUUAUGCAAAACAUGUUUUAAGCAAGUUUAAGAUUAGUACGGCUAGUUUGUGUGUAAUCAAUGCGGACGAGAAGAUGUCCAAACCGUAACCAGGUAUAAUGUCAAGAUGGUCGUGAAAGAUUCCACUGACUCAAUGGAACUCUUGCUAGAGGAUACGAAUAUAGAAUUUAUCUUAUAAUGUGUCGCAUCUUGUCUUAAAAAAUUAAUGUUAAAGGAUAAUGGGGUGCAAAUGCUCAAAGACUAUAUUUCUCAAUAUUAUGAGAGUUCAUAUGUGUUCAUUAUUCUUGCUCCAACAACUGGGAGUCUUGAAUUUCGUUUUAAAAGUUGAUUGGUCAGAAGAGUGUUGGCACCUUUCCAAAGGUAAUAAACGAUUACAAAGAUUGUAGAGAUGAUAAGUUGUCCUUUUUUCUUCAUUGUCAUACCUAGAUUAUACAUAAACCAGUCCAUAUUUUACGAUGAGUUUAAUAAUUCUUAAUCUUAUUUAUGUUGGAAUGUCGAGGACUGACAAAGGAAUAAUGGGGUCGUCAAUAUAAGAGCUUUGUUAAUAGAUUGGAAAUUACAUAAUGAAUUUUAUUUGUUAGGUUAAGUUUUACAAAUAUAUAUUCGAUUUUAUUACGUGUGUUGGGAUAUUUUUGACAUGCUUGAAUAUUUUUCAUCUCGAUUUGACCUGCACAUACACCGUAUUUUACUUUGUU
Rhododendron vialii is the source of this 1380-nucleotide long non-coding RNA. RefSeq lists it as uncharacterized. The transcript has 3 exons. The record is from RefSeq and is a predicted model, not a curated record. NCBI's taxonomy places the organism in Eukaryota, Viridiplantae, Streptophyta, Magnoliopsida, Ericales, Ericaceae.